RNAcentral lists this long non-coding RNA (308 nucleotides) under Pan troglodytes (chimpanzee). Its description in RNAcentral is "lincRNA". The record is from RNAcentral. Lineage: Eukaryota; Metazoa; Chordata; Mammalia; Primates; Hominidae.
GGAGGAGUCACGCCUGAAGCCACACAGCUGACAUCAGAGCCAAAGCAUGAGCCUCAGUCUCUCUGACCCAGAGCUACCACCCUUGCUGCCUUGGGAAGAAGGAAGCCCCCUCCUAUUCUAUCCUUGAGCUGCCUUGGCAAGGAGGGGCCCCUUGCUGCCGCCAUCCUCACAGGACACUAUCCACAUGAGGGGAUGAAUCUCAGUUGCACUCAGUUGUUGCCCCCCUCGAACCUCUCUUGAGCCUCAGGAGAAACCACCCUGAUUCAAGGUCCAGAGAAGACCUGACUAGCCCAAGGUAAUUCCGUCCC